This is a long non-coding RNA of Actinia tenebrosa (Australian red waratah sea anemone), 610 nucleotides long. RefSeq lists it as uncharacterized. The record is from RefSeq and is a predicted model, not a curated record. NCBI's taxonomy places the organism in Eukaryota, Metazoa, Cnidaria, Anthozoa, Actiniaria, Actiniidae.
GCCCCUGAUAGCGACAAGCACUGAAUGGUACUGCUUUACCUUCUAUAUAAGCUUCUUUGRGCGAACUAUACGUUAAAAGGAAUCAAACAAGACUUUCAUUGUAUGCGCAUUAUUCUCUACAGACUGACUACAUUCGAAUUCUGCGGUUAUUAUUGCCCCACAGUCCGGCUCUUCCGAUUCUCCUUUUGAAUCCCUUGUAGGAAAAUGAAUUGCAGGGAACAGGGAUUCAGCCGUAUUCUCCCGGUUUAAGGAAAGUUAGUGAGGAGCAAUCGAGUGUUGGUCAUAAAGAGGAGUCCCUGAUCAAGUGAAGAAUUUGGCAGAACAGAAAAAUUAACGACUUGCUACAGAAGCAGUUCGCGUAUGGAAAAUCAAAUACGACUGAAAAAACGGAAUUGAGUAACACUCAACGGCUUUUCCUGGAAAUUCCAUACCUACGAUCUGAAAACCCCAGACAAUUGAAAUUGACCCUCUUUGGUAAUGAUCCCGUAAAAAAAAUGUGAGAUGUUCAGAGGAAGUUGCUUCUGUGAAAUUUCCAAACCGUACUUUCCCAAGCUAGUGAAAAGUGAGCUGCUUUGUCAAUUAAUUAAAAAUAUUUUACUUGGUUAAAGGC